UAAUACCGCAUAUUCUGUGAGCAGGAAUGCAGGGGACCGCAAGGCCUUGCGCUCUUUGAGCGGCCGAUGUCAGAUUAGCUAGUUGGUGAGGUAAAGGCUUACCAAGGCGACGAUCUGUAGCGGGUCUGAGAGGAUGAUCCGCCACACUGGAACUGAGACACGGUCCAGACUCCUACGGGAGGCAGCAGUGGGGAAUUUUGGACAAUGGGGGCAACCCUGAUCCAGCCAUGCCGCGUGAGUGAAGAAGGCCUUCGGGUUGUAAAGCUCUUUCGGCCGGGAAGAAAUCGCAUGGGCCAAUACCCUGUGUGGAUGACGGUACCGGAAUAAGAAGCACCGGCUAACUACGUGCCAGCAGCCGCGGUAAUACGUAGGGUGCGAGCGUUAAUCGGAAUUACUGGGCGUAAAGCGUGCGCAGGCGGUUUUGUAAGACAGGCGUGAAAUCCCCGGGCUUAACCUGGGAACUGCGUUUGUGACUGCAAGGCUAGAGUACGGCAGAGGGGGGUGGAAUUCCACGUGUAGCAGUGAAAUGCGUAGAGAUGUGGAGGAACACCAAUGGCGAAGGCAGCCCCCUGGGUCGAUACUGACGCUCAUGCACGAAAGCGUGGGUAGCAAACAGGAUUAGAUACCCUGGUAGUCCACGCCCUAAACUAUGUCAACUAGGUGUUGGGUGGGUAAAACCAUUUAGUACCGUAGCUAACGCGUGAAGUUGACCGCCUGGGGAGUACGGCCGCAAGGUUAAAACUCAAAGGAAUUGACGGGGACCCGCACAAGCGGUGGAUGAUGUGGAUUAAUUCGAUGCAACGCGAAAAACCUUACCUACCCUUGACAUGCCAGGAACUUGCCAGAGAUGGCUUGGUGCCCGAAAGGGAGCCUGGACACAGGUCUGCAUGGCUGUCGUCAGCUCGUGUCGUGAGAUGUUGGGUUAAGUCCCGCAACGAGCGCAACCCUUGUCGUUAAUUGCCAUCAUUUAGUUGGGCACUUUAACGAGACUGCCGGUGACAAACCGGAGGAAGGUGGGGAUGACGUCAAGUCCUCAUGGCCCUUAUGGGUAGGGCUUCACACGUCAUACAAUGGUCGGUACAAAGGGUUGCCAAGCCGCGAGGCGGAGCCAAUCCCAGAAAGCCGAUCGUAGUCCGGAUUGCAGGCUGCAACUCGCCUGCAUGAAGUCGGAAUCGCUAGUAAUCGUGGAUCAGCAUGUCACGGUGAAUACGUUCCCGGGUCUUGUACACACCGCCCGUCACACCAUGGGAGCGGGUUCCGCCAGAAGUAGGUAGCCUAACCGCAAGGGGGGCGCUUACCACGGCGGGGUUCGUGACUGGGGUGAAGUCGUAACAAGGUA
Molecule: ribosomal RNA, 1339 nt
Filed under: metagenome
Description: bacterial SSU rRNA
Rfam family: Bacterial small subunit ribosomal RNA
Source: RNAcentral